This 579-nucleotide ribosomal RNA is filed under the name Synura sphagnicola. Its description in RNAcentral is "eukaryotic LSU rRNA". It matches the Rfam family "Eukaryotic large subunit ribosomal RNA", at positions 129 to 887 of the family's 3401-position model. The record is from RNAcentral. Lineage: Eukaryota; Synurophyceae; Synurales; Mallomonadaceae.
ACUUAUAAUCGGAAAUGUAGUCUGUUGAGACCACGCCAGUUCUUGACGGAGGGUUAAAUCCCCUGGAAUGGGGUACAAGAUAGGGUGAAAGUCCCAUUCAAGCCUUCUGUCUGAGUGUACGGCCAGUCUUCAUUGAGUCGAGUUGCUUGGGAUUGCAGCUCAAAGUGGGUGGUAAAUUCCAUCUAAAGCUAAAUAUAGGUGAGAGACCGAUAGCAAACAAGUACCGUGAGGGAAAGAUGAAAAGAACUUUGAAAAGAGAGUUAAAGAGUACCUGAAAUUGCUAGAAUGGAACCGAUGGGAAGUAGUGUCUCGAUUCAAAGACCACGGAUGGAUCGAAAUUGACGAAAUACUUCUCAUCAUCCCGUCUUGAAACACGGACCAAGGAGUCUAACAUGUCUGCAAGUGCUUGGAGUUACCUCCGUGCGCGAAAUUAACGUAAAAUUUGCACUAUCGACCGACCAUGCUCCUACGGGAAAAAGGUUUGAGUGUGAGCACACAUGUUGGGACCCGAAAGAUGGUGAACUAUGCUUGAGUAGGACGAAGCCAGGGGAAACUCUGGUGGAGGUCCGUCGCGAUUCU